Podarcis lilfordi (Lilford's wall lizard) is the source of this 2265-nucleotide non-coding RNA. Lineage: Eukaryota; Metazoa; Chordata; Lepidosauria; Squamata; Lacertidae. The record is from the annotation of a GenBank genome assembly.
GAAAAGGGAGGAGGAGGAGGUCAAGGAAAGAAGGUAUUGAAAGUGGAGAAUUGGAGAAUGAUGGUUUUACUUUUUCUUUUUCUUUUUUUUGUCUUGUUUCUUUUUUUGUGUAAUUUAAAAAAAAUUCUCAAUAAAUAUCAUUUAAAAAAAAAGAAGAAGUGGGAUGGGGGAACCUGGGCUUGGAUAUGGGCACUCCAGACCCAAACUGCUGAAUAGCACUGCAUUGGCAGAUCUAUGCCCAGGGAGCCACUAUGGCCCAUAGCGAGAGUCAUAUGGCACAUGGCGAGAGCCAGUGUGGUGUAGUGGUUAAGAGCAAUAGACUCGUAAUCUGGUGAACCAGGUUCGCGUCUCUGCUCCUCCACCUGCAGCUGCUGGGUGACCUUGGGCUAGUUACACUUCUCUGAAGUCUCAGCCCCACUCACCUCACAGAGUGUUUGUUGUGGGGGAGGAAGGGAAAGGAGAAUGUUAGGCGCUUUGAGACUCCUUCGGGUAGUGAUAAAGCGGGGUAUCAAAUCCAAACUCUUCUUCUUUUUCUUCAUAUACUUGGGGGGCAAUAUUGAUUGAGAGUGGUUUGCGACUUUUACAGUCAUCCCUCCAUGGCACCAAAUACUCUUGCAAAAGCAAGAAUCGCACAAGGCAAGCGUUAAACCAUCAACGCAUCACUAUGUUAAGAGCGCAAGUGAAGCACUAUCCUGUAAAACGAUAGAGUUUGCAUAAGCCCUGGUUGGCCACGCUUUUGCUGACAUGUGCUGUUGAGGUUAGCCGCAACCCCGUAGUUAAGUGAAAGAGAGUAAUCAUCCUCUCAAUUUGCUUUGCAGUCUAAGAGAGGAUUGCAGGGUAAGGAGACAAAUUGUUUUCGUUGCCUUUCAGCAGAAAGUGCUAAUGGAAUAAGGCCUCUGGUGUUGACUGCUUUCUCUCACUUCCUCUCCACCUCAUGUUCUGGUUUGGCCUCCAAUCAUUAGAUGCUAACGGCUGUCUAAGAGCAUGUUAGAAUACAGACAAUAGCUACACAUAUCGACAGAGCCUUCUUCCCUAUCUGGCCAGCCUGUUUGUGCUGCCUGUGCAAUGAGAACAAGGGACCAGGACUAGUCCUACCAUUAGAAGACUUGUUUACUUGAGAUGCAAGUGGGAAGCUUGUGCAGGCAGCGAUCCAAAUUAACUUUGGCUCUCUGAAAAUGACGUUCGUUUCUCUCCAGCUACGCCAGCAAAUAAUUGUUUGGGGAAAGGGCACAUCAACAGCUUCAGGAGGCCAUCUCAAGUAAUGACAUUAUAGAAUCGACGAAGGUAUGUUUGGUUUUUGGAGGCAGAUUGCUGGCACAAACGUCUAGGUCUGAGUUGCUGUUGUCAGCUUUGCAUCUAUGUCUGUUUGUAGUAAAAACGAGGAGGCAGGGAAUUAUUACACAUUUCCACAGAAAUCUUCUUUUAUGUUUUUUAAUAAAAAAUGUGGAAGGGGGUGUGUUAUAUUGGCUUUCUCAUUCUUGCUCCUAAUUAGCAGUCCACAGUUGCCUGGAAACACAAUUUAGUGCCUUGUGUUGGCUGUAGCUUCAUAGAUAAGAGAAUGUUCGGCCUCGUGUGCCUCCUUUACCUCUUUGGCUACACUGGCAUUUGUCGUUAGUUUUAAUAACAUAGCAUCUUCUCCUUUUUUCUUCCUUCAUUUUAAUAAAGUGAUACUAUGCAGCAGUUGCAUCCAUACAGCCACCCCGAAGGAGUCUGUUUGUGCAGUAGAAUGCAGAGCUGGAGAUUAGAGUUCCACAGCUCCAAGAAUGAUAGUUAUUAGAAUUUGGCCUCCCGGCUCUGCAAAAUGUACCCAGUUCAGGUAUAAAAUGAUUGUUGUAAAGGUAAAGGUACCCCUGCCCGUACGGGCCAGUCGUGUCCGACUCUAGGGUUGUGCGCCCAUCUCACUUAAGAGGCCGGGGGCCAGCGCUGUCCGGAGACACUUCCGGGUCAUGUGACAAGCUGCAUCUCGCAAGCCAGCGCAGCACACGGAAAUGCCGUUUACCUUCCCGCUGGUAAGCGGUCCCUAUUUAUCUACUUGCACCUGGGGGUGCUUUCAAACUGCUAGGUUGGCAGGCACUGGGACCGAGCAACGGGAGCGCACCCCGCCGCGGGGAUUCGAACCGCCGACCUAACGAUCGGCAAGUCCUAGGCGCUGAGGUUUUACCCACAGCGCCACCCGCAUCCCAAAGUUAAAGGUAAAGGUACCCCUGCCCGUACGGGCCAGUCGUGUUCAGGUAUAAAAUGAUUGUUGUAGCAAUUAUUAAUUGG